Long non-coding RNA from Oncorhynchus tshawytscha (Chinook salmon), 128 nucleotides. RefSeq lists it as uncharacterized. The record is from RefSeq and is a predicted model, not a curated record. The transcript has 2 exons. NCBI's taxonomy places the organism in Eukaryota, Metazoa, Chordata, Actinopteri, Salmoniformes, Salmonidae.
UGCUAACCCACAGGUACAACACACAGACAUGAUGCUAACCCACAGACAUGAUGCUAACCCACAGGUACAACACACAGACAUGAUGCUAACCCACAGGUACAACACACAGACAUGAUGCUAACCCACAG